RNAcentral lists this ribosomal RNA (441 nucleotides) under uncultured bacterium. RNAcentral describes it as "partial 16S ribosomal RNA". It matches the Rfam family "Bacterial small subunit ribosomal RNA", at positions 338 to 795 of the family's 1533-position model. The record is from RNAcentral.
CCUACGGGAGGCAGCAGUGGGGAAUAUUGGGCAAUGGGCGCAAGCCUGACCCAGCAACGCCGCGUGAGCGAUGAAGGUCUUCGGAUGGUAAAGCCCUGCCGCAGGGGACGAAGUAUGACGGUACCCUGUAAGAAAGCCCCGGCAAACUACGUGACAGCAGCCGCGGUAAUACGUAGGGGGCUAGCGUUGUCAGGAAUUACUGGGCGUAAGGGGAGUGUAGACGGCUUGUCAAGUUGAGUGUGAAAGCCUGCGGCUGAACCGUAGAAUUGCACUUAAAACUGACUCGCUAGAGUGCAGGAGAGGUGAGUGGAAUUCCUAGUGUAGCGGUGGAAUGCUUAGAUAUUAGGAGGAACACCAGAGGCGGAAGCGGCUCACUGGACUGUAACUGACGUUGAGGCUCGAAAGCGAGGGGAGCAAACAGGAUUAGAUACCCUUGUAGUC